This is a non-coding RNA of Salvelinus sp. IW2-2015, 504 nucleotides long. Lineage: Eukaryota; Metazoa; Chordata; Actinopteri; Salmoniformes; Salmonidae. The record is from RefSeq and is a predicted model, not a curated record.
AGAUGAAGGAGAGUUCAGGCAGAAGGACAAUAAAACCUCUCAGCAGUUGCACAUUGGUGCAAGUCGCCGAAGGGUCAGCAUAGCAGUGAUCACCAAACAAGUCCAGGUCUGCGCAUGUUCAAGUCCUUCCUCUCCAAAGACAUGCACGUACCCACGCACACCAACUAUCUGCCUAUUCUUUUGCCUCAGGAAAAGAGAAAAUGGGAAAGAGGGCUGCAGAAGUCAUUCUCAUUAGAUCAUGGGAUAGGCAAGAAGUCACUCUCAACCCCAUCUCCAUCAAUGGACUCCAUCACAGAGUCCAACCCUUCAGUCAUGGUCAAGACAGAAGAGAUGGAUGUUCCCUUACUGGCUGGCAGACCACAUGAAGCCCCUGAUGAUAACAAACAAGAAGUCGCUGCUGUUGUCCAGUCACCACCUGAACCAGACCCCUCUCCAGUCUAUACAGCACCCUGUCCCACUCUCACACACAAGCCAAACGAAGUGGACACCAAGAAAAACAGCAUG